GCAAUUCUGCAACAGUGGCUCUAACUGACGCAGCACUUGACAGACAGCAUUACAGCGUGAAAUCCAGCUUGUGAACAGGUUCUGUGAGGAAUUCUGUUCAGGAGGUCGCAUUUCAGGCUCUCCACAUCAUGUGUGACUGACUUUUACGUUAUAACAACGAUCACACACUAGGAAUGUUAUAAAGUGCCUAUAUAGGAGAUUCUUUUGUAUAUUAUCUGACUUUAUAAACUCCCAACAACAAUGUGCUUAUAUAUUUUUUUCAGGCUAAAUCUACCCAAGACACUGGCUGUCAGACUGAUUUAGCUGCAAGAAUGCACUUGUCCAGGCUGACGUGAAACCUUCCCUGUAGCAAAGCCAGCCAGAAUGGAGUUCACAGCCGCAGUGUGUCUGGUGACCCACGGGGACCAUGAUGAAAAUUCAUCUUCCAGAAGGUCCCAGAGCAGCAGCCACACCCCCUGAAAAGACCAAGGUGUGAGGUGUCUGCUGUUGAUUCCAGCUUCCACCUCAGUGACUGUGCAAGCUCAGUGAACUGUUCAAGGUAAAAAAAAAUUAAAACAUUUCAGAAUUUUUAAGAUAUUAACAAUUAAAUAAGUAUGUGAUUACAUCAUGACGGAGGCUACUGAUUCUGCCCCGUGACACUUGGUGGUGACGUGUGAGCUGAUUCACCUGGAAAACAACUUUUACAUUAAAUAUUUUGUUUUUGCUAUCAAAAGUAAAUUAACUAAUAACCUGCAUUAUUGCAGGACACUCAGCAAAAUAUGGACUCUACACCAUGAGGCAGGUACACGUUAAUAACUCUAUAAGAGCACAUAAGCCUGGCUGAUCACCUGAUAACUCCUGUCAUCUUGUUAUGACAGUAUGAGGAUGUCCUCACACACCUGUAACCUAUCAGCUCAUCUGGCAGAAUAGAGAGAGAAGAGACAACACCACAUCUCCUGUUCCUGGAAAGCCUUCAGCCAUCCUUCGAUGACUGAGAACCUCCAUCAGCUCUGUCUCCUGUCUGCCUACAAUUAUUAUAAUAAAUAUUGUGUUUGACAAGUUUUUUUGUGCUGCCAAAUAUCUCAUAUAGAUUCCAGUUUUGAUAUUUUAAUGGAUAUUUAUAAAUUACAUUAAUUGAAUUAUCACAAUGCAUGUUUAACUAGCUCUAUUGUGAUGAAUUAAACUAGCACCUCACUGUUAAAAGCUCGUUUUACUUUCAAGCAUGUUUAAGUAUUUAUGGACAUGAACAAAAACAGGAAAUAUAUAAAUUGAGAUUUAUUUAAUUAAUAAAACAAAUA
Non-coding RNA from Nothobranchius furzeri (turquoise killifish), 1277 nucleotides. Lineage: Eukaryota; Metazoa; Chordata; Actinopteri; Cyprinodontiformes; Nothobranchiidae. The record is from RefSeq and is a predicted model, not a curated record.